UUUCAGCGAGGAGCGGAGAUUAAAGAAUCAAUAGGUGAUUACCAGUAGAAAGAAAAGAUUAACCAAUUAAAACAGCCUGACGUCACGGCACUGUAUUUUGUCAGGAGCCAAGGAGGCCAAUCAAAUCAUAGCACGGCGCUAACGCCACCUUUAGCCGAAUGUUUUCGGCGGUAUUAGCAUCUUGAUAACGGGCUUUUGAAGUGGGAAUGUGGAUUUCUCCAGUUAAUCAAACAAUUUGAUUCACCUGUAACAAGUCAAAGUUAAACCUAAACAACAUCUGCGUACACAGAGAGAAAACUAUUCAGACUUUUAACAUCAAGAAUGUGGCUAGCUGCUAGCACUAAUCUACAGUAGCCGUUUUGCUAGCUCGGUCCGGUUUAUCAGAUAAAGUGCCAGUGGGGAAUUCUAUGACGUUUAUUGACCACGUCACCGCCAGACACACAGAAGAAUGACCUGCGUACGUCUUCUACAUGGCCUUUUAGCUAAAGAUGUCUGCGGCCGAUGAAGUGAACGUCGCUCUUCAUAAGCACAAAGCGGUUUCUGGGUUUCUCGGCCGCCUGCUCCCUCGUCGCUCAGAGGCGCUCAGAGACAUUAAAGAGUCCUACCUGCUUGUUUUGGCAGCAGUGAGGCCGAACGCUCUGGCCGUGGGCUAAAACCCGAACCCUGCAACAGCGAGGACACAGUCGGAGCAGAGAUCCAUGGGAGAUGAGCAGGCUCCACCGUGAGCGGGGGUGCGUGUCCACCUCUGCCCUGAGCCUCUCUGGCCUCUGGCCAGCAGCCGGUGAUGGAGUCCGACCGACCCUCGACCCUCGAGCUGCAGCAGGUGGCAUCAGAUGCGUGAGCACAAAAUGAGCUCCGACAGCGGAGGAAACAUCCUGCUCUGAGGAAGUGCAAGACUGCCCUCUGGCAGAGCUCUUACCUGAGAAGGAAGAAAAGGCAGCGGCAGACCAGCUCCACCUCCAGGCCCUGCUGGAUGUAGCUGCCAAAGAGCUUCAGCAGUUCUGGGACGUAGGGGAAGGGUAAGACCAGCAGGGAAACCUCCAACUCACUGGGGAUCAAACACAACAGACAGACAGCCACUCGGUGAGUGUAGGGUAGAUGGAGGCAGAGCUGUGUGGGCAGAGUCAGACAAAGCUCUCACCUGGACCUGACCUUCUUUAUGACGUCUAGAACGUAGCAGGACGGCUGAAACGCAGAGAGAUCACACUCAGUUAACUGGAAACAAGCGGACGCUCACUCAUCACUGCUCCACUUACUGAAACGUUGCCGAAGGCCACCAGGAUCGGGUUGGCUUUGGGUGGAGGAAGCUGAAACACAGCAAACGUAUACAUUUUAUUGGUAUAUAUCUGUUUGGACAUUUUUAGGCUCCACACCCUAUGCUCAGUGGACAGUAGCAUUACUGGAUAAUGUCUCUACCUCUUUGCCUGCAUUCUCACAAGCAUAUUUAUGCUCCUCCAUCUUCAUGGUUUCCUCUUUGUAAAGCUCCAAGGCUUCCAUUAUUCGCUCUGCCUGCAAAGAGGAUCACAUAGCAGCAGGAAGAUCAGUGAGGAUGACAAAGGUUUGCUGAAUCAAAUCUGAAUCGCUACGUCAGUGUUUUAGAGUCAUCGACAGCUUAACUCAAAGGUUUGAGGCAAUGCUGCUCUAACAUAUACAAACAUUAAAUGAACUCACAGCUUUGACUGUCUCCACGGUUUUCUUUCCAGCUGGUGCAGCCUCUCCCUGAGUCUCCCCCGGCACCUGUGGAUGAAAUCCAGUUAAUGCAACAAUCUGGACUUGGUCCAUUUCCGCCACCAAAAUAUCAACUACACUGUUCUACAUAGUUUUAUUACAGACCACUACUAGGCUAUUUCCUUCUAAUAUAGUGUAAGUAGAGCCCAUUGAAAACAAGUACUUACCACGGGUAUGUCUCCUUUAGCCAUGCUCUCCUCAUACUCUGCUUCCCUCGCCUAUAUGAAUAUGAAAAACUCAAAUCAAACCAAGGUACAAGUCUCCUUUAAAUGUGUAGGCAAGUCUGGUUUGUCUCACCAUCUCCCGCUCCUCCUCCAGGAUGAUGGGCUCCCUGGUUCUCUCCCAGAGACGGAGGGACUUAUCAUGGGAUGACGACACAAUGUGGUCGCCGUUGGGGCUGAUGGUGAAACACCAAACCUCUCGAUGGUGUCCCUGUGAGACAGCGAGGACAGGUUACUAAUGCCACGCUGGAGUAAGGCUGUCUGAGCGUAAAUAUAACACAGAGGAGAUCAUCACCUCUAGGGUUUGGAUCUGCUCAAACUUGUCUGCAUCCCACUGUUUGAUCUUCUUGUCCUUCCCCGCUGUGAAGAACAGAUGAGUCUUGGGGACAAACUGGAGGAACAUGACACUGUGGAGAGGGAAGCGUGAAGGAGGUCAGGCAGGCAAAUCUGGGAUUAUUUAAAAUCAGAGAAGACAUAACAAAGACAAAACUAAAAUGAAUUAGUAAAGGCAGAAAAGAAUACGGCACAUCACAGAAUGACGUUAGUAAGAGUGAAGCACUGGUCAAAUGGGAAAAAUAAGCAAACAAGCCAAAAGAAAAAUAUACUGAAACUAAACAAACUACAACUGAAAGCAGAGAAAUAAAACAAGACGGGGAAAGUCAGGUGAUCCACCGAGAAAAUGGCAGAAAAUCAUUGGACGCGGAUGAAGUUGGAGCUGAAACCUCACCAGCUCAGAGAAUGAUGGGCACAUUCUUGCAGCUGCCCACUAAACCUGAGGCUGUUUGCUGUGCGUACCUGUCAUCGUGAGCGAACAGAGAGCGGUGACAGUCACCGAAGUCCAGACCCCAGAUCUUCACGUUUCGGUCAGCGGAGCCGGUGGCGAUAAGUGCGCUGUCCUGGUGGACAGAGACCAAGAGACUAAGUCGAAUCUACAGGCUGGUGCAACCUCAGGACAACUUCCUAGUUACCACUAACAACGGCUUCCAACCCGGUUGAUCUGAUAUUAAAGGUUUAUGACAAUUACUCACAUGUGAGAUGUCCAGACAAAGAACAGGCAGCUUGUGUCCAUACAUAGACAAGAAGAACUAAAGCACAGAGGGAGGAGGGUGCAGUUAAGAUGAAAGCAGAACAUGCACUGCACAAUAAAUCUGCACUAACGGUGGAUGUACCUUCAGUGUGUCUGUGUAGAAGACCUUUACGGUGCAGUCCAACAGAGACACGGCCAGCAGCCUGUGAUCGGGGGAAAGCUUCACACACAGAACGUCCUCCUCCAGCUGCAGAGUGCGAGUGUGUUUCACCGUCAGCCUCCUGCAUCACACACACAAAUGGAAUGUGGUGGAGGUGAUCAUUAAAAGAGAUUUGCAUAUUCUGCUGCAACAUGUUGACUUACUUCUGAUCAGUCUCCUGGUCCUUUAUCAGUUCAAAAUCCCAGAACUUAACCGUCUUAUCUGCACUUCCUGUGACGAUGCCCCUCUACAAAACAAGCAAUGACCAAAAACUGUAAUUCAAACUCUGAAUAAUGUGAAUUUAGAAAACAAAAUACAAAAAGCAUGAAACAGCGUGACAGAUGAGACAAAGUCGGGUUUACCUGGUCUGGGGCCAGGCACAGGGACCACAGGGCUCCAUCAUGAGCUGCUACAUUCUCCAGAAGGCUUCCUGAGGCCAAGUCAAAGAUCUGUAGCUUGCCGCUCUGACAGAUGGAACAACAUUCAGAGAACAGGAGGAUGAGGAAGAGCAGAUUUUACCUCCACAUGUCUACAGCCUCACCAGGCAAGCGCUUAAAUCCCACCACGUUGCUUCUGCUCACCUUAGUUCCCAGGACGAUCUGUCUGUCUCCAGGUACAAAGAGCGAGCACAGAGCAUAGUCACAGGCCAUGGUGCGAACCACCUGCAGAGUGGACCUGGAGGUCGGACAUCCCAUUAGAAGACGGAUCAAUAAACACAACAGCUCUGCAUGUUUUGCAUUGACCGUGUCACACCUGUUCCACACUUUGACUGUGUCUCCGGAGGCGGAGAGGACGGCCAGGUUGUCCGAGCUGAAGGCCAGCGUACGGACGUCGGUGCGGUGGCCGCCCAGCGUGAGGCGAGCCGUCUUGUUGGCUGUGGGGGUCUGGUCGGCUGUCUUCAGGCUGUAGGUCUCUAUGGUGUUGUUCUGCAGCAGCAGCGCCACCUUCAGCUCACCGCCUGGACAUGACAGAAAGUCCACCCAUCUGGGAGGAGACGGACAGCGUGAGCAUUACAUUUAGUUAACUGGAUGAAAACACUGAGGAGACCACUGCUUUGUCCUUGGGACACUUACCGGAUCUUAGAGGACACCUUGAUGUUGGUCAGCCUGAUGAUCUCGUCCUUCAGCAUCCUCUCCACCACCGGCACUGCUGCCUCCUCUCCUGUAUCUUCCUGAGCUCUACAGCAGAGGGCAACAAACACAACAAAUGUUAGCAUGCAGCACCUUCAAAUCUGAUGUCAGGAAACAAACGCACAGAGGAAAAACGACCCAACAGGUUUGAGUUUAUGUAGAAACAGGUGUUACCCGACAGCACAGAGAAGAUCUAUUAUUUAUAUUUCUAUCCUGAAUAUUCAUCCGUUUCUGUCAAGCUGCACUGCACUGGUGGCUAAAGAAGUUAUUUUAUGUGGUUUGUAUUUCUGUGAAUCGUCUAAAGGAACUGAACACAAGCAGUUUUUCCUGCGCCUACUUUGCGGCCUUCUUUUUUGCUUUCUUCAGCUUUUUGGACAUUUUCUUCUCCACUUCCUCUUGUGACAGCACCGUGAACAGUUCCAGGACUGAAUCAUUGCCCUGAUGGAGGAAGAUGAUGGGAUAAAGAAUGAACAAUGAAAGAAACACAAACAACAAUCAAACAAAUACAUCAGUAGUGUUCUUUCCAAAACCAAUAAUGACGUAUAGUCUGUAUUUAAUGUGAAGCGUUUUGAUGCAUUCAUCAGUACAAAGGGUUUUUCAGUGUUAUGUUUAUGUUACGUUUGGUGGUUUUUCGUGACACUGUGUUUUCAGUGAAGGAAGCAGCAGAUGCCUCAGCACUCACAUGGCAGGCGAUGACGCUGGCCCUGGUGUCUGCUGUCAGGGAGACAACUCUGUCUCUGGCCUGUCGGAGGAUGGAGCCGGCUUUCUUACAACUCAAGAUCCGCUGAGACACAAAAAAGGAAAACUGGUUCAGAAACGUUCAGGAAAGUGCAUUAAAGCAUCUCGAUGCGUCAGGUUUGCCUUUGUCCACAGUCAUAUUCUUUGACUUAAGUCCUACCUCUUCCACACUUUCCUCCUGCUCUUCCUCGUUGUCUUGUUCAUCAUCUUCAUCCAGUAGAGUUUUACCCUUCUUCACUUUGGGCUCACCCUUUGCUUCUUCCUAAGCGGAACAAAACCACACAGAUACUGAUAACGACAAUUUUGCUAUUCUUUUCUUUUCAGGGAAAAUAUAAUUUGUGUUCUCCUUCUGUUGGCACCUGUGCUCAUUAACAACAGAGCUGCGUCCCUUCUCACCUCCUGCAGGUAGUUGAUGUCCCAGGCCCGAAGUUCACUGUCAGCUGAGCCUGUUAACAGUCUGGUCUCCUGGUUCAACAGUAGCAUGCCCCACACCUAACACACACACAACAGAUAAUGAUGAUUACAACAAUGUGGACUCAAAUAAAGCUGUCCGGUGUUUAUGCCUCCUUCA
This is a long non-coding RNA of Betta splendens (Siamese fighting fish), 5614 nucleotides long. RefSeq lists it as uncharacterized. The transcript has 4 exons. Lineage: Eukaryota; Metazoa; Chordata; Actinopteri; Anabantiformes; Osphronemidae. The record is from RefSeq and is a predicted model, not a curated record.